GGUGGUGUGGUGUAAUGGUAGCACGUGACGUUGUGGCAUGAACUUAUCAUAUCAUAUAUAGAUCCGUUUCAAUCUGGGUUCGAUUCCCAGCACCGCCA
RNAcentral lists this transfer RNA (98 nucleotides) under Erysiphe necator (grape powdery mildew). It matches the Rfam family "tRNA". Rfam says of the family: Transfer RNA (tRNA) molecules are approximately 80 nucleotides in length. The record is from Rfam by way of RNAcentral. Lineage: Eukaryota; Fungi; Ascomycota; Leotiomycetes; Helotiales; Erysiphaceae.